This 274-nucleotide ribosomal RNA is filed under the name uncultured bacterium. RNAcentral's name for it is "partial 16S ribosomal RNA". It matches the Rfam family "Bacterial small subunit ribosomal RNA", at positions 523 to 796 of the family's 1533-position model. The record is from RNAcentral.
AUACGGAGGGUGCAAGCGUUAAUCGGAAUUACUGGGCGUAAAGCGUGCGUAGGUGGUUUGUUAAGUCAGAUGUGAAAGCCCCGGGCUCAACCUGGGAACUGCAUUUGAAACUGGCAUACUAGAGAAUAGGAGAGGAAAGUGGAAUUUCAGGUGUAGCGGUGAAAUGCGUAGAUAUCUGAAGGAACAUCAAUGGCGAAGGCAGCUUUCUGGACUAAUACUGACACUGAGGUACGAAAGCGUGGGUAGCAAACAGGAUUAGAAACCCCAGUAGUCC